Molecule: ribosomal RNA, 467 nt
Filed under: uncultured bacterium
Lineage: Bacteria
Description: bacterial SSU rRNA
Rfam family: Bacterial small subunit ribosomal RNA
Source: RNAcentral
AGCACUCCUACGGGAGGCAGCAGUGGGGAAUAUUGCACAAUGGGCGCAAGCCUGAUGCAGCCAUGCCGCGUGUAUGAAGAAGGCCUUCGGGUUGUAAAGUACUUUCAGCAGUGAGGAAGGUGGGUAUGUUAAUAGCAUACUCAUUUGACGUUAGCUGCAGAAGAAGCACCGGCUAACUCCGUGCCAGCAGCCGCGGUAAUACGGAGGGUGCGAGCGUUAAUCGGAAUUACUGGGCGUAAAGCGCAUGCAGGUGGUUUGUUAAGUCAGAUGUGAAAGCCCGGGGCUCAACCUCGGAAUUGCAUUUGAAACUGGCAAACUAGAGUACUGUAGAGGGGGUAGAAUUUCAGGUGUAGCGGUGAAAUGCGUAGAGAUCUGAAGGAAUACCGGUGGCGAAGGCGGCCCCCUGGACAGAUACUGACACUCAGAUGCGAAAGCGUGGGGAGCAAACAGGAUUAGAUACCAGGUAG